This 236-nucleotide long non-coding RNA is filed under the name Hordeum vulgare. Its description in RNAcentral is "long non-coding RNA (HVUL_LNC016426)". The record is from RNAcentral. Lineage: Eukaryota; Viridiplantae; Streptophyta; Magnoliopsida; Poales; Poaceae.
GCAGGGGAGACCCACGUGCCGGUUGCUGCGACCUGUCGCUUGAGGAGCCAGAGCGCCGGUCGGGCCGGCGCCGUCGAGCAUUUGCCCAGAGGAAGGGAAGUGUCGCGGUUGAGCACGAGCGGCCAGCACCGACACGCGCGCGCAUCGAAGCCGUGUCUCUACCGCAGAGAUUACCGUCUGCAGUCGACCGUAUGGGGAAGUGCCACGGUCGAGGACGCGGCCAGCCUCGACGCCGG